This is a long non-coding RNA of Mugil cephalus (flathead mullet), 805 nucleotides long. RefSeq lists it as uncharacterized. Lineage: Eukaryota; Metazoa; Chordata; Actinopteri; Mugiliformes; Mugilidae. The transcript is spliced from 4 exons. The record is from RefSeq and is a predicted model, not a curated record.
CCUGUUUAAAUCCACACCUGUCUUUCCAUUUGAAUGUCUUACAUGUAGUCGGGGAGUGAAAGCGGACGAUGAAAGGUCCCCUGGAGAAAACGUCGGUCUCAUUGGUCCCCUCUCCUUCUAGUUUAGGAGUCUCGGACCUCCUGGAUAAGACACAAGUCGCACCUAGAGAGAAUCUAGGGAGCCAAAGCGGGGACAGUUAGCUCCUUUGAGCCGUGUGUGGUCUUGUGUCGCUUCAGUUGCUGCCAUCGGCAUACAUCGGUUUACCUUCAGUAGAACGCCCAUAACCUUCUUGUUGCUCGCCUUUGACUCUCCAAAGCUCUGGACAUUGAAGGCGCAGAUUUUCAGAGCGGAUGCGACGUUCAGCGCACACAGCGCCGCAACAAACAGCAGCGCCACGGUCCUCAUCUUGCAGAAAAGUGUGUGCUCUAGGAGCCGACACAGUAGGAGACUGAUCUCAGGCCAGCGGAGACGCAUCUCUUCUGUGUCCAGCGGUGGAUUUAGGGAACAUGCAGGGCAACCAAGGCCUUCUCCUCAUACACCAGCCUCUGCUUCUCCAUCUGGACGACCAGUUUCUUCACACCAUCUUUCGGAAACUUCUGCAGGGACAUAACACUGCCGAGUUACAUCUACCAACGAUUUUAAGGUGAGAAGCAAACCAAAACCACAGACAAGCGCAGCCAUUAUUAGUUUCACUGUUCAGCAGCACAUUGCCGGGAUAAUACUCAAUAUAUAGUUGCUAAGAAAUAAAGUUAAAAAAACGAACACGUUAAUGCGUGAUUCAAAUCUCUCUUCCUGCUAAGUUUCU